This 465-nucleotide ribosomal RNA is filed under the name Vreelandella stevensii. RNAcentral's name for it is "partial 16S ribosomal RNA". It matches the Rfam family "Bacterial small subunit ribosomal RNA", at positions 338 to 795 of the family's 1533-position model. The record is from RNAcentral. Lineage: Bacteria; Pseudomonadati; Pseudomonadota; Gammaproteobacteria; Oceanospirillales; Halomonadaceae.
CCUACGGGGUGCUGCAGUGGGGAAUAUUGGACAAUGGGCGAAAGCCUGAUCCAGCCAUGCCGCGUGUGUGAAGAAGGCCUUCGGGUUGUAAAGCACUUUCAGUGGGGAAGAAAGCCUUGGGGCUAAUACCCUCGAGGAAGGACAUCACCCACAGAAGAAGCACCGGCUAACUCCGUGCCAGCAGCCGCGGUAAUACGGAGGGUGCGAGCGUUAAUCGGAAUUACUGGGCGUAAAGCGCGCGUAGGCGGUCUGAUAAGCCGGUUGUGAAAGCCCCGGGCUCAACCUGGGAACGGCAUCCGGAACUGUCGGGCUAGAGGGCAGGAGAGGAAGGUAGAAUUCCCGGUGUAGCGGUGAAAUGCGGAGAGAUCGGGAGGAAUACCAGGGGCGAAGGCGGCCUUCUGGACUGACACUGACGCUGAGGUGCGAAAGCGUGGGUAGCAAACAGGAUUAGAGACCCCUGUAGUC